This 253-nucleotide ribosomal RNA is filed under the name uncultured bacterium. RNAcentral's name for it is "partial 16S ribosomal RNA". It matches the Rfam family "Bacterial small subunit ribosomal RNA", at positions 524 to 776 of the family's 1533-position model. The record is from RNAcentral.
GACAGAGGUGCCAAGCGUUAGGCGGAAUCACUGGGCUUAAAGCGUGUGUAGGCGGAAUGGUAAGUACCUUGUGAAAUCCCACGGCUCAACCGUGGAACUGCUUGGUAUACUGCUUUUCUUGAGCCACUUAGGGGCUGUCGGAACAAACGGUGGAGCGGUGAAAUGCGUAGAUAUCGUUUGGAACGCCAAUGGUGAAAACAGGUAGCUGGGGCUGUGCUGACGCUGAGACACGAAAGCCAGGGGAGCGAACGGG